Molecule: long non-coding RNA, 731 nt
Filed under: Homo sapiens (human)
Lineage: Eukaryota; Metazoa; Chordata; Mammalia; Primates; Hominidae
Description: HSALNT0149829
Source: RNAcentral
CACUCUUAUCCCUAGGCUCUGAGCCUCUGACUUUCUGGUCCAGGUAGCAAGUGUCUGCAGGAUUUCUAGACCCCAUGCUCUUACACCAGCUUGUCUAUGAAGAUGGAAGACAAAGCUUUUCUUUCCAAGAAGAAACUGAAAACAUCAACUCAAGUCUUGACUUUGGUUGGGAAAGAGUAACUGCAGUAAUUAGGACCCAAUUGAUGGCAAAGGGGUAUGAUCUAGGUUACCUGAAACUUGGUAAUUUAUGAAGAAAAGGAAUUCAUUUCUUACAGUUAUGGAGGCUGAGAAGUCCAAGGUCCAGGGGCAUAACAGAGACAAGGUCUCACUACGCUGCCUAGGCUCGUCUCAAACUCCUGGACUCAAGCAAUCCUCCUGCCUCGGCCUCUCAAAGUGCUGGGAUUAUAGGCGUGAGCCACCAUGCCCAGCCCCUAUUGCCUUUUGAUCCGUACUUUUUGAUUAAUAUCCUCUAAAACACAUGAAAAUUCACUGUUCCCUCUGUUAGGUGCUCCCAUAGAACACAUAUAGGACCCUAGAAGUCCCAUCUCUUUAGAAAAAUUAUCUUUCUGGGAAAAUACAGAGUUUCUUUUAUAACACAUCUGUGUCUCUGUAUGCUGGCCAAAAGCCUCAAACCCCCAAACAGACCUGAAAUGUUUAUCCCUACCACUACUUCUGAUAAUAGGGGUUUGACUUUGUAUUGCCCACACAUCCCAUUAAAACAUAUAAUGUGA